GAUGAACGCUGGCGGCGUGCCUAAUACAUGCAAGUCGAGCGAACAGACGAGGAGCUUGCUCCUCUGACGUUAGCGGCGGACGGGUGAGUAACACGUGGAUAACCUACCUAUAAGACUGGGAUAACUUCGGGAAACCGGAGCUAAUACCGGAUAAUAUAUUGAACCGCAUGGUUCAAUAGUGAAAGACGGUUUUGCUGUCACUUAUAGAUGGAUCCGCGCCGCAUUAGCUAGUUGGUAAGGUAACGGCUUACCAAGGCAACGAUGCGUAGCCGACCUGAGAGGGUGAGCGCCCACAGAGAAGCGGAGACGCGGCCCAGCCUCCUAGGGGAGGACGGGGUGGGGAAUCUCCCGAAAGGGGGGAAAGCCUGACGGAGCACCGCGGGGUGAGUGAGAAAGUUCUUGGGUUCGUAAAACUUUUUUAUUGGGGAAAAAAAAAUUUAGAAGUAACUAUGCCCUUUUGAACGGACCCUAAGAAGAAGCCCGCGGCAAACUCGGG
RNAcentral lists this ribosomal RNA (496 nucleotides) under uncultured bacterium. RNAcentral's name for it is "partial 16S ribosomal RNA". It matches the Rfam family "Bacterial small subunit ribosomal RNA", at positions 28 to 506 of the family's 1533-position model. The record is from RNAcentral.